Non-coding RNA from Dermacentor andersoni, 1853 nucleotides. The record is from RefSeq and is a predicted model, not a curated record. NCBI's taxonomy places the organism in Eukaryota, Metazoa, Arthropoda, Arachnida, Ixodida, Ixodidae.
GUGCGCGAACCCUAACAGCAGGGGUUAAUCACCCGUUCCCUCGGCCCUAAUUAAAGGGCCGUGGCCACGACCUAGGGAAGAGCCGACAUACAAUUGGGGGAUAUCUGCCGUUCCCCAACAUAGGCAACUAGGGAAAAGACAAGUUAUUUAAACGCAGGUUUUAGACCGAGCUGGGCAGUCUAGAAGCUGAGCCUACAAUCUACUGAACAGGGUCAAGGAGCUAGUGUCGUCCAGUAUCGCCUAGCCGCGUCUGAACUGCGAGUGACUAGUUGACUUAAGAGACGACGAACCAUCGGCUGCAACGAAGCUCACGGUAGUUCCCCUGAAGUUAGCGCAACCUGCUCCGGGGAAGACGUCAGACCUAGACUCCCGGGAAACCUAGCCCAGCAAUCGCAUCCACCGCAACGAGAUCGGCUUGCCAGCGUUCUUCGGGAAAGCUCUGGUGUCGACUCCACGCUUUAUGGACUUACUGUUGCUGCCCGGCCAUGUGUAUGCCAUCAUUUAUUUUCUUUUGAACUUUGUUUAGUUGACCACCGUUAAGUGUGUUUUGCGUAGUGUUAAUUUCAAUGUUCACUGUUCGUUGUAUUUCUUUUGGGUUCAUCAUUGAUCUAGAUUAAGUGCAUGUGUGUUAGUGUUCUGGUGUUUUUCGUGUUUCGUUUAAAUUGUGUGUCGUUGUCGGUCUAUAAGUUUUUUUUUUUAAUCUUUCUCCCUACUGUGUGUCCUUCGCUGUUGUUCGACGACUUCGUGCCGACGGCGAACGGUUGACAAGCCGUGACAGGACCUGAAGCGUAUUAUGCAUGCACCAACGGUCGCGUUGUACUGCAGCCGUCGAGCUAGUAUCCGGACACGAUGCAAGAGCGCUUGCAUCGUGUACGGGUACCGAAAUUUUUAAGUUAGAAUAAUAAAUUUCAGUGUGGACAGCCUGCCGACGAGCGUCAUUAGCGCAAGGACAUGAGCUGAUAUCAACACAAAAUAUACAAGGGCAAGAACAGUUCGAGUUGCUAUUUUACAAUGCUGGCAUUCCUGACCGGAUUGACGCAUGCGCAUUUAUAAGUGUACCCUACGCAGCGAGCUACCGACUUGCCUGCCUAAAUACGUGUAUUUUUUUUGCGGGUUUUUUUUUUUUUUUUUUUUUUUUUUUUUGCUCCUUCGAUCAGGCGAAAACAAGCGAUAUGGCCUUGGAAUACCCGGAGCGGAUGUUAGCUGGCACCGAGUCAACUGCCCUACGUACCCGCAGGGCGACCGUGACAUUUUACUGCGUUUGACAUUUGACAACGGCACCAUGAAGCACGUCCUCGUAAAAUGGGAGAGUGAGGACACGUGGGACGUGUAUCCAGUGAAGAGAAUCAGCGAUGUCGCCAUCGGGAUGGAGCUGCUUGGGGACCCGGCCAGCGCACUGGAAAAGUUUCAGGGGUCAUUGUGGGCGUCGUGUGACAGCCUGGAAAGCCACCAGCACCAGCCAGGAUUCUAGCUAUCGGGAGUCAGGCUUCCACGGAACGAAAAAGAAAUAGGCUGGCACUCGAAACUGUCGAGACUGACAGCCCAGCAACUGGUGCGAAGGUACACAUCGGUGACGGAGCCUGCGUUGAAGAAGGGCUGCUCAAGAGGCGGCGACUGGACGCAAAUAAUUCGGGCUCGCGGUUUGCGAGGGGCCUCCUCAAAGCUCUGUUUACGAAAGAAGAGCUCUUUGGGCGGCCCUCGAAUGCCCAUAAAGGGCUUCCGCAAAAGGAGCCACUGGACUUCAAGAAAGUCAACGCCAUACUGGACUACACAACGCAACACUUCAGCGUGCUACCAGGACAGCUGAAAAACUUCUUGUCAUCAUUGCUAGCCAGGCGGUAUUAAAUUGAUGU